GCCACUCGUCUCCGGCGACAUGUUUGUCUCCGCCCUCCUCUUGGAAGUCCAGCAGUGCCUGCAAACGCAGCGCCGUGUCGGGAUAGACCACCUGCAGUGGCGUCACGUCCUGAAGCACAAAGAGCUCAGUUAGCUUCUUUGGUCAUGUGGACAGAUGGCCCUCCCGCUCCCUGACACCAACCUGCUGGAUCUCCUCUCCGGGAUGGAGCGGGAAAGGAUCUCGGAACAGGCGGAUCUCCAGGUCGGCGUGUCGCAGCUUGGCCUGGCCCUGCUCAUCGAAGAGAACGCAGCCGUUGUCAUCGCACGCCACCGGGUUGGCGACCACGCAGUAGUGGCGCGGCGGCACCAUGAUCAUUCGCACCGGCAGGAACAGGACUCUGGGAAAAGUCAGGUGACAUCAGUGACGUGACGGCGGUGGAGGUCAAACAUCCUCUGACCUUUCAUUGUCCUGGCGGAUGAAGGUGAGGGGUCCGAUCUCCACACGGGCGAUGUUGGUGUUCUGGUCCAGCACGUGGAUGUAGUGAUGGGGCGGGAUGCGGAUGAUGGACACUUCCCCCGCCGCCUCCAUCUCAGCCACGCGACUUCCUGUCUUCUUGGACAUCAUGGCGAUGCUGAGGUGUGAGGACAAAACGUACAUCACCAAAAUGCACGCUAAUAUUUGCUCUUCUACAUGUUGUCAGAUCAUGACAUUCCAUCAUCAUCAUCAUCACACGCCCUCCACGCUGAGGACAAAGUCUCGCCAUUGCUCAGCGACACGCCCGACUCAGCGCCUUUUCUUCUCUGGGAUGACUCAUCAACUGUUACUGUCAGCCAAUCACCCAAUCAAUCAGUGACCAGACUAGAGGGUCACCUGAUAGCUGGCAGCCAAUCACAGAGCAGAAGGUGGAAGACAGGAAGUGGCAGACGGUAAGAGGAAGACAAAAUUAAUUAUACACGCACACGCACUGACGAGCACGUUUGUGCACCGUGAUAGCCAGCGUUACGAAAGUAAUCAGUUGUGCUUUUCCUGGUUCACCUUAAACAGAACAUUCUGGAUAUUUGGACAGUAAAAACGACGAUGAAGUGGAACGGCAAACAUGAUUUUUAUGACGUCACGUACAUUUUUUUGUGUGACGCAGUAAAGCAGGAAGCAAACUCGCAGGAAAGUUGGGUUAGUUAGGUAGUUACUUAUUGUUACUUUGCUAGUUAGCUUUUCUUCAUUAAGAUAAAGAAAACAAGCCAAGUCAAAAGUUGUCUUCUUACCUGCUCGUCGGGUCAGCUUGACUGAGAUUUAUUUUCCUUCCGACUCCUGAGGACUUUUCAAGAAGAGAGUGGGCGGGUCCCUGCGCAUAUCCCGGAAGAACACACCAGAGGUCACGUGACUUCCCAGCCCUGAGAGUGCGUCACCAUCGACCAAGACUUUAAGUAAAACAAACAAACCCAGCCGGUGACGCACGAAAUAUCGACCCCUGCUGGUAGAAGCUUCGUACUGCACCUCAUAAACUAAUUACACGCUUUCACCCAUUUAGUUUUCCUUUUAAUGACAGUCAUGUAUGUCAGUUAAUGUCAGUUCAUGUAUCAAAAGGACACCAGGCAUAGGUCACACGACCUGACACAAACAUGUUUUGAUAACAGCAAAAUUUGAACAAAGACUUUGGUUGAAUAAAUGUGUGGAAAAUAGACAUGUACUUACAAUUAUUUAUAUAUAUAUAUAUAUAUGUAUAUGUAUAUAUAGACAUAAAUGUUAGCUUCCCUUUUAAAAACACCGUCUAGUCGUUCACCCUUUCCUCGCCAUUCCUAACCUUUUACUGUUGGACUGUAGGAGGCGCUCUGACGGAUCACGUAACUUAGCAUGGUCCCUGAACAUGCUAAUAAACAUAAGUAUAAAAUAAACACAUUUAUACCCAAUAAGAGAUAUACAAACAUUAGCCUUGCUAACAAACGUCAUGCUAAUGAAUAUAAUAAAAAAGUCUAAAUGGGAGUUAAAGGAAAUAUUUUGUUCAUUUUCACAGUCAAACUAAUCUAUAAUCUAUAUAUAUAUAUAUAUAUAUAUAUAUAUAUAAUGCAUGUUGAGACUGGCGAGGAAAGAAUGAGGUUUGAAAUGUGAAACGACAGGUCAUGAAGUCCUGAUUGACACGUAUAAUAUUUUCUUUUUCAUGGUCUUUGCUCAUUCCAGUGUUUUAAAUAUUCAUGAUGCAUUCACGCAUCUCGCUGAAGACACUUGGACUCCAAUAAAUACAGUUUUGUUUUUCCUUGUUGGCAGCAUUGCAGCAGGAAGUGACACUUUAGCUCUCUCAUGAACAAUUCACACAAAGAUUGAAAAAGAAGAAGAUGAUCCUGCGGAACAGGAAUCCAAGUGCUGGUGUCACAUCUUUUUCUCAUGUCACUUCCUGAGCUUUUAUUGUGACAGGCCUGGAUUCAGUCCAACAUGGCGUCCAGCUGGUCGGCCAGGUCGUCAAACAUGUUCCCGAUGUCGUCCAGGAUGGUUCCUGCCGACUUGACCGUGUUGGCUCUGCAGAGCAUGAAAGACAUCAAAAUGUCGUAAAAGACAAACAGACUUCCUGUCUCCUACCAGCGUUUCUUACCCGUCAUUCUCGUCCAUGAUUAACUUCCUCUCCACGGCCUUCAGGGCUGCUUCCAGGGACGUGCUGGUCUCAUCCAGCCUUUGCUGGACCUCCGUCCCACCCUGACCCACCAGAGGCUGAUCUUUAGCGGCUGAUAGGGAGGGGCUUUGAGGGGUCACUGCUGGGGGCCCAUGGGACGGCGAGGAGAAGGCCAGACUUUGGACCACACUGAAACUCACAGCUGGAGACCCGAGUCCAGUUGCUGAAAAAAGAAUGCAAGUUUAUUGCAUUGUUAUUAUCAUUAGCAUAAUGAUUAGAUUAUCAUCGUUAUUAUCAUCAUCAUUAUGAUCAUCAUGAUUGUAAUGAUUAUCACUCACGUGCGUUGCCGUGCACUGCCAGCAGACUGUGACGGACAGGUUUUGGGGCAAUGAGCGGCGGUUUUGGGGACAGCAGAGGUUUGAUGGGGGACGCUUUGUUAAGACCGCCCUCACUCAUUCUCAAACAGACGUCUUCCUCUUGGUCCUGUGUUCUACCGUGGGCUGACUCGGCCUCGGCUGGCCCGUCUCCAUCCUUGUCUUUGGGUUUGUGUCGACGCUUGACUGUGUCCGACUCCUUGAGGUUGAAUUCGGGGACUUCCAGGCUCUUGGCGGCAGGUUUCUCUAGAGGUUCCAGCACGGCGUCAGCUCUGGGGGGUCCCGGAGCUUUAGGCCUCUGUUUGAUGGUCAGGUUGCCCUCCUCAGCAAAGGGGAUGCACUCACUCGAGCUGUUGUGAGGGGAUGACGAGCCUUCAAGUCCGCAACCUUUGGCUGCUGCUGCUUCUUCCGCAUCGGACCUGACCCCUCCCCUGUCUGAUUCCACACGGUGGCAGGUGUGCACAUGAAGGCACUCGCUCUGCACCCUCCGCCUCAGCCCUGGGGUCUCUUUGGACUCCAACAGAACAGGGUCAUGUUUGGGACCUGGAGGGUUUUUGGCCUCUCUAGUUCCUUCUAGACAGGCUGUGAUGCUCCUCACGCUUCCUGGACUGUCAGUGACGACGCCACCAGACGACGUGGUGCUGCUGUCGCUCAGCUCACCGCUGGUGCUACUGCUUACUGAGCUCAGUCUCUUGGGAGGGGGAGGAGGAGGGCCUUUUUUCCGGGCUCGCACAGCAAAAGACUGACUGCGGCCCACGGUACCGCUCUUCUCUGAACUGGACUGUAUUCGGGCCGUAUGACUGCGGCCGGAUUUUCGGGAUAAGGUGGCGUAUGAAGGCACGUUUCCAGAAGAAAGAGCCGGCUCCUCGUCUUCCUCGUCGGGUUCUCCAUCAGACAGAGCGUGACGGUUCAGGCUGUGGGCCCGUUUCUUGGCAGGUGCCAGAGUCUGGCUGUGGUGCUCAGGUCUGGUGGCCGCGUGGAGGUCUGUGGAUCCACAGUGAGAGUGCAGGUAACUGAAGCCCUUCAAUGCUGGCGAUCCACCAGGAGACGAGCCGUGAGAGCGGGACAGUUUGGGUUUGGCUGAGACGGCGGGGUACUUGAACACGGUGGCUGUUCCCAGAGGGACCUGCUUGUGGAGGGGCCUCUGGUCCCAACCCUCAGGGAGGUUCCUGUCCCUGGCGGGGCUGCUGUCAAGGCUCUCCUGGGACCAGCUGUGGGGUGUGACGGAGGCAGUGGGCGGUUCCUGGGAGCGUCCAGAUCCUCUGGAUCUGGUGUCGAUGCUGUCUUGGCUCUGGGACAAACCCACAGUGUUGUUGAAGACCAGGCCAUCUUCACAGUCCGCGUAGUGGCUUGACAUGGCUGACUGCAGCUCGGCACUCAGCUCACUGUCCUGGAAGGUCAACAUCUUGGGUGAGUGAGGGGAUGAGCAUUCCCCGCCGGCGUCUGGUGGCUCGAUGGCGACCAGAUGGAGCGCUCCGGGGCCUUUGCGUCGCAAUGUGCCCUGGUCGGAUUGGGCCUGAGCGACGGCCCUGUGGAUGUCACACAGCUUCUUCACUGCCAGCAUCAGCUUUUUCUGGUGGCCUGGAGGACGAUGGACAGAAUCAAGAGAAGGACACUCAGGAGAGCCACAGACACCUGAAGAGGGACAUCUUCUCACCCAGCUUGGUGAUGCCAAUCUCCUGCAGAUCCUCCCACGUCAGGUCUUUGACGAUGCUGAUGCUGUCAUAGCCGUUUUCUGACAGCCUUUUCAGGUACUGAGGCAGCCCAAUGGCGCUGAGCCACUCGCCCAGAUCCGACUGCAAGACAAGAACCAGCUGAGUCAGCAGCCACCAACCCCGCCCAAAACGCUCCAGUCAUGAUGAUGAUGACACACCAGGAAACAGAUUGGUCACCUCAGGUGUCAUCCUGCUGAUGGUCGGGACAUCAUAGCCGGCACUGAUGAAGUUCCCAGUGUACUGCUCCAACUGGAACUCUCUCAGCCACUCAAAGAUGGCCUCGGCAUCCUGAAAGAUGUUUCUGAUAUGUCAUGAUCGCUGCUGAGGGCGGACAAACUGCUGGCUGAAGGUCUGCUCUGCAGGUUGUUGCACCGUCACUGUGGGCCUGCGGGGGGUGACACCUGCACAGGGGUCACACGCCUGAACAUCUGGAUGGUUCCACAUUGAAGUUACUUCAUCUCAUUUAUUUUCACUAGCGUUUGGGACAUGUUUGCUAUGCAAAGGCUGGACUGGAAACGUACCUGCAGCAUGAAGGUGCUGCUUGUCUGAGCGUCCGCACUCACCAGUAGAGGAUGCCGUCUGCAGAGACAACAAGCACAAAGCUAACACAAGCAGGACAAAAUGCUAAGAGACAUCACAUGACAACAGUGUACCUUGCUGCUGUUGUCAUGGUGACCGGUGGAGGGUUGUAGCCCGUUGGGAACGCUGUUGCUCUCUGUGCUCUGUCCGCUUCCUGCGCUGCGAGUGCUGCCCACGCUCCCGGUACUUCCGACACUGUUCCUGUCUCCCGCUGACACGGGAACAUAGCAAAGUUUAGCAUGACACGCUCACAUCAGCAGCGGCUCGUCUGCGAGACACGGUGGUCAACGAGUCUGUGGGAGGGGUCAGUGUGUGGGGGAGAGGCAUGUCUUUUCUUUGGAAAAGUUGGAAAUAAAAACAACCAACUUAAACAUCAGCCAACCAAAUCUCAAACUACACUUUGUGUGGUCUUCAUCAUUAUUUUGAUGAGGCAAACGCAACUACGAAACAAACUUCCCGUAUCAGCACACUCGUGUUAGCGCUUCCCGUAUGAGCAAACGCAACGCUGCGCUGCCUGUAUCAGCACACUCGUGUUAGCGCUUCCCGUAUGAGCAAACGCAACGCUGCGCUGCCUGUAUCAGCACACUCGUGUUAGCGCUACGUGGUCACCUCACAACCACCACAACACCGCACCCGACACACACCAUUACACUCCAUGGCCUAAUAUGACACACCAAGGCACAGCAGAUUACAUGAGGUGACAUGAGAUUACAUGAAGUAUCAUGAGGUGACACAAAGUGACAAGAGACAUGAAGUAACAUGAGAUUACAUGAAGUAUCAUGAGGUGAUACAAAGUGACAUGAGACAUGAAAUAGCAUGAGGUGAUAUGAGAUUACAUUAAGUGACAUGAGGUGUCAAAGGGACAUGAGUUGUCAUGACAUAUGAAGUGACAAUUAUGAGGUGACAUAAAGUGACAUGAGACAUGAAGUAACAUGAGAUUACAUGAAGUAUCACGAGGUGAUACAAGGUGACAUGAGACACAGAGCAGCAUGAGGUGAUAUGAGAUUGCAUGAAGUAACAUGAGGUGUCAUGCGGAAACUGGGAAGUAACAUGACGUAUGAGAUGACAGGAAGGAACAUGAGGUGAUGAGAUUACAUUAAGUGACAUGAGGUGUCAUGAAGGGACAUGAGGUGUCAUGAGAUGACACUCGGUGGCAUAACGCAGCAGGAAAUGACAAUUAGGGUCAUAAAUGAGACGAGACAAAGGGGGUGGGCCACGGACCCGCCCGUGUGAGAGGCGGACUCGGUGAGGCGUGUGCGGUUGCAGAGCUGGAAGCAGCCAUGAGGAGACGCGAGGUUGUUGCUGUCUUACCAUGACACGUGUCCCUGAGCACCCAGAUGUCCUGGAAGGGACACCCGGUUUGAGACAGGUGGCUCGGAGACGCACCUAUCAGACACAAAGAUGACUGAGUUCUAUUGGGGCGGGGGAGGGGCGUGCGUGGCCAAUAAGGUUACACGAUUGGCAGAAGUGCCACCUGCUGUUAAUAUUGUCGCCCACAGCAAAUGUGACGCCAGUGUGUGCGAGACAAAAUGUGCCGUUUGAUUGGUUAGUUGUGCCUGAUGAUGUCAUCAAAGAGCUACAGGUGGCAUGAUGGCGGCCAGGCGUACCUGCAGCCAGGCCGUUGCUGAGUGGAGGAACCACAUGGGUGGGGGGAGCGUACAGCAUGAAGGAGUCGUCAGUCUGAGGGGCUGAGCUGAGGCUGUUGGACAGGGGGGCUCUGGACAGCAGUUGUUGACGCUGAGCAGGCAGGGAGGCGUGCCGGGAUAAGGUGCCCCCUACAGAGCGAGAUGUUGAGGUGCAGGGGGGAUAUCAAGCUUGUGUUUAGAGGCCAAAGGUUAUGAGGAGAGCAGGAACAAAGGCAUGCAGGAAAUUGGGGGAGGGAUGACCUGGAAGCAUGCAGGUUAGUUGUGGGAGUGGGGUUAACUCACCGCCUCGCCGGCUGAUGACCUCCACAAUGGAGGGUGGGAAGAAGCCCACCCGGUCCGUCCCCCUCUGGCUGUCGUGGAUGUGACCUUUCCAGCGUCCGUCCACGUGCUGCUCCAACACCUGCGUGAGGACAACAGCCGUCAACGCCUCCCGACCCCACGCUACCAUAGCAACUACUUUGGUCGUUGCCCUGCCCACACUGUUCCCGCAUUCUAGCACUCAUGUAGCUGCUAAGCCACAAUGUUUACCAGUGCCAGGGGGUGGAGUCUGGUGCAAGGAGACGGAGUCUGGUGGGCCCGUGUGCUGUGAACCUCAGUGGCGUGUUGGAAGCAUGGCAUUGUGACUCGCGCUAGCAUACAUGUGUACAUCAUCUAGGCGUGGUUUACAAUAUUCCACCAUUGGAGUGGGAGGAGUCUAUCAACCUCGCUGUUGGUUAAUCCAACAAAUGAGAUGCUAACAGAGUUUUAUGUGCACUUUGCUGAUGAGUGACUGUGUUUCACGUUCAUCUUCAUCUUGCUUUCUGUCCCUAAAUAAACAGACUUGUUGCACCGCUUCAUGUUUAUUGGUUUAUCUGUGGCUGAAAAGUGCCAAAUAGGAUGUGUUUAUUUGUAGUGAUCCCCAUUAGCUCUGCUAUAAAAAAAACUAUCAAUUCACUGUGGACAAAAUCUAAUCAGAUUUGACUAUAAUAAUCCCAAGUCAAGGACAGCUCUAACAUCAUGGUGGACUAGCUGCUUCACCGUGAUCACAUCCCCGGCCCGGAUGUUGAGAGCGGUGGGAUCAUGAAGGUUCCAGAAAUCCUUUAAAGCUCGGACCUGCAGAACACCUGUGGCAUCUGUGGAGGAACACGACAAGUAAUUGGGAGUCCAGACAAAGGUUAAAGGUUAAAAGGUUAAAGGAGGCAGGAAUCAGGUCAUGUGGACAACGACAAGACUAAAGUCUGUCUCAAGAGGACGGGUCCAAACAAGUCCUG
Dunckerocampus dactyliophorus (ringed pipefish) is the source of this 8146-nucleotide long non-coding RNA. RefSeq lists it as uncharacterized. NCBI's taxonomy places the organism in Eukaryota, Metazoa, Chordata, Actinopteri, Syngnathiformes, Syngnathidae. The transcript is spliced from 3 exons. The record is from RefSeq and is a predicted model, not a curated record.